This 82-nucleotide transfer RNA is filed under the name Rhamnusium bicolor. Its description in RNAcentral is "tRNA-OTHER". The stretch from base 18 to 74 matches the Rfam family "tRNA", at positions 8 to 63 of the family's 71-position model. Rfam says of the family: Transfer RNA (tRNA) molecules are approximately 80 nucleotides in length. Their secondary structure includes four short double-helical elements and three loops (D, anti-codon, and T loops). Lineage: Eukaryota; Metazoa; Arthropoda; Insecta; Coleoptera; Cerambycidae. The record is from RNAcentral.
GCUACCUAUAUGACUGAUGGUCGAAAGGCAAGGACACUUGACUCUCACCCAAAAGUCCCGGGUUCGAAUCCCGGCCGUGGCA